CCGCGCCGGCCCUCGCGCGGUCUGCGGGCGGCGGCCUCGGGUGGGUCCGGGGGCGGCGCGGGCCGUGCAGGAAGCGGGCUCUCGGGCGUGGGGCCCAUGCCUUUCCCCUGAGCCAGGCGUCUUCGCGCUUUUAUGCAGGUUAUUUUUACGCGUUCAGAAUUUUCCAAGGGAGCCCUUGUGCGGUGGCACCUUCUUCUCGUGGCGCUUGAGCUUGGAAGAAAUGUUCAGGAUUAUUGAUAACCCGUGUCUAUUUUUGCUCCGCGCCCAAACGUGGGCCUUCCGUGCACGCCCGGCGAGCAGAGAGACAGACGUGGUCCCCGCCCUCAGGCUGAUGGAUUGGUAGAAAUGAAACAAUCCCCUUCAAUCUAGUAUGAAUGGAAGAAACAAGCAUCUAAACUCCUGAUAAUUCAAAACCUAGGACCAGAUGGAAGAAAAUGUGGUGGGAGAAAGGAGAGUGCCUUCCAGCUCCUGGAGCUCAAUGGCGGUGUGAGACUUCCCAGGCGUGGAGAACCUGAGCCUCUCGCCGAGAGCGCAGCAGAACAACGUACAGCGGCGGGGACAGCAAAACCCGAGUCCUGUCCCCUAAAGGAAGGAGGACAGGAAGGUGUUAUGAAGAAACAAGGGAUUGAGAUGGAGAAUAACCGAGGGGUCCUACAGAGGGAAAAGUGGAGAGAGGAGGCCUCCUGCGGCAAGUGAAAUAAACCCUGUGACCCGAAGGAGGAAGGCCCUGUCUGCCGCUACGUGGAGACUAGAUUGUGGAGGCUUCUGACAAAUUCUUGACUUGCCUUGUUAAUGACUUCAUCUCCCAGAGGAACUGCCCCCAGGAAGUGGCCACAUAUAGUGGGGCUGCUAGGCAAGUAGAGAUGAUAGAAACCUGGAAGGAAAUGUAAACUUAGGGUUCCAGAGAUCCAGGAAGGACAGCAGGGGCAGGGCUGGGUGUGCUCUUUCAUCUUCAGCCCAGGAGAUUUCAAAAGGCGUACCUGGAGGGGAGCCGUGCAUCUUGGAAAGGGAGAGCCACACGGGAAAGUUGGGAGUUUCGCAAUGCUGACUGUGUAAUUACAGACGACUUUCCUUCCAGUGAGGAACAGCAGUUCCAUUAAGAAGAUAAACUUCAGGCAAACGUGGCGGAGGUCAUCAAUGAAGGGACCGGAAACUUGACCUGAAGGGACUGUCAAUGGCAGCCAGGAUGGAUGCAGGGCUUUCUGUUUGCUUUGCUCUCUGCAGUGUCCCCAGCACACGUGAUCCUUGUUAAUAUUUGCUGCAUGAAUGAAUGUAUGCAUGGAUGAAUAAAUGUCAGCACUGCUCUGAUAAAGGUAUGUGCAAAUAUCCAGGCAGGGGGGACCCUUUCUUUGCCUUCCCAGCAACCUUUUUGGCUGCCUGCCUCCUCAGGAGUCUUGGUGGGAGGCUGGCCUCACCAGCACAGGACGGUAGCUAAGGUGUGGACCCUAGAUCUCUGCUCCUGCCUGCCUUGGUGGAAGCAGGGAUGAUCGGAGGCUUUGCUCAGCGUUGCCAGCAGAGAGGGUGCAGCCCACGCCAUUGUUGCCACAUUCACCAUGCCAGUGGGUGUGUGGGCCUGGGACCUGCCCCCUCCUCUGAUCUCCUCUAUGUGCCCUUCACACAGUCUGCCCCCGUGGUUGCAGAACUAUAGUGCAACUCUAGCACCAGGAAUCCCACCUUUCCUGCUGACCCCCAGAGCUGCUUUCUCUCUCUGCCUGAUUCCAUGCCUACCUGUUUGUUGCCGCCCCACCCAAUGUCCUUCCAAUAAAAUGCCCUUCU
Long non-coding RNA from Choloepus didactylus (southern two-toed sloth), 1776 nucleotides. RefSeq lists it as uncharacterized. NCBI's taxonomy places the organism in Eukaryota, Metazoa, Chordata, Mammalia, Pilosa, Megalonychidae. The record is from RefSeq and is a predicted model, not a curated record. The transcript is spliced from 5 exons.